GCUUGUCUCAAAGAUUAAGCCAUGCAUGUCUAAGUAUAAACAAAUCUAUACUGUGAAACUGCGAAUGGCUCAUUAUAUCAGUUAUAGUUUAUUUGAUGGUUCUUGCUACUUGGAUAACCGUAGUAAUUCUAGAGCUAAUACAUGCAUCAAACCCCGACUUUUGAAGGGGUGUAUUUAUUAGAUUGAAACCAAUGCGGGUUCCCCGGUAUUUGGUGAUUCAUAAUAACUUUCGGAUCGACUUCGGUCGAUGCAUCAUUCAAGUUUCUGCCCUAUCAGCUUUGGAUGGUAGGGUAUUGGCCUACCAUGGCUUUAACGGGUAACGGAGAAUUAGGGUUCGAUUCCGGAGAGGGAGCCUGAGAAAUGGCUACCACAUCCAAGGAAGGCAGCAGG
RNAcentral lists this ribosomal RNA (390 nucleotides) under uncultured Chrysophyceae. Its description in RNAcentral is "partial small subunit ribosomal RNA". It matches the Rfam family "Eukaryotic small subunit ribosomal RNA", at positions 30 to 432 of the family's 1831-position model. The record is from RNAcentral. Lineage: Eukaryota; Chrysophyceae.